This 460-nucleotide ribosomal RNA is filed under the name uncultured bacterium. RNAcentral describes it as "partial 16S ribosomal RNA". It matches the Rfam family "Bacterial small subunit ribosomal RNA", at positions 338 to 795 of the family's 1533-position model. The record is from RNAcentral.
CCUACGGGUGGCAGCAGUGAGGAAUAUUGGUCAAUGGGCGCGAGCCUGAACCAGCCAAGCCGCGUGAAGGAUGACUGCCCUACGGGUUGUAAACUUCUUUUAUAAAGGAAUAAAGUGAGGCACGUGUGCCCGUUUGAAUGUACUUUAUGAAAAAGCAUCGGCUAACUCCGUGCCAGCAGCCGCGGUAAUACGGAGGAUCCGAGCGUUAUCCGGAUUUAUUGGGUUUAAAGGGUGCGUAGAUGGGUUGUUAAGUCAGUUGGUAAAGUUGGGGGCUCAACCCGAGAAGCGCAAUUGAUACUGGCAGUCUUGAGUUGAGUUGAGGUAGGCGGAAUGCGUGGUGUAGCGGUGAAAUGCUUAGAUAUCACGAAGAACUCCGAUUGCGAAGGCAGCUUACUAGACUGCCACUGACGUUGAUGCACGAAAGUGUGGGUAUCAAACAGGAUUAGAUACCCGAGUAGUC